Pseudophryne corroboree (corroboree frog) is the source of this 403-nucleotide long non-coding RNA. RefSeq lists it as uncharacterized. NCBI's taxonomy places the organism in Eukaryota, Metazoa, Chordata, Amphibia, Anura, Myobatrachidae. The transcript is spliced from 3 exons. The record is from RefSeq and is a predicted model, not a curated record.
UGACCGGCUGCUGCUGCCAGAUCCCUUCCCCACAUAGAGCUUCUCUGUAAUUACAGGAAGCAAGGGGUUGCCCGCCAUGUUCACACACCCGGAAGUCAUGAGUACGCUAUUCACAGCGGCGGCCAUCUUGCUCCACCCAGGGCGACAGCGAUCUCAUAUUUGGACACCGCAGACGCCAUAUUCCUACACCGGGAAGUGACAUGGAGAGGCGUGUCCCACGGUUGCGGCAUUCCCAAGAGGCCACGCCCCAUUUUUGGUAGCUUUGCCAUGCAGGAGUCCCUUACCAACAAAGUUGACAGAUUGUCCUGCAUAUCAUGAAAUCAAAAUCAGCUGCAGUUGCUACUUUGCAAAACCAGGCACCACCCAUUUCUCAUGCUUCCAUGUAAGUAAUACAAUCUCAUAC